ACACGGCAUGCACGUAUCGUGCUGCGAAAGUUUUACGAGUCUCGCGGUGUGUUUAAAGACGAACCUUGUUCGACACCGACGCCGGCGUCGCCGUCGAGACGUGUGAGACCCGGAACACCGGGAGAAACGGCGCAUCCAACUCUCGUUAAAAAUCCGCCUCGAAUCUCCUUCCUAGGCUCGACUUAUGCACGCAGCGUGUGUGUUGGAAAACAGAUCGUACAAAUCAACCGCCUUCUAACAUAACAAGCCACAUUAACCUCAAGUGAUUUCUAUUUUCUUACGAAGCGUGAAAGAAAUAUGAAUAUUAGUAUGUUUAUAUCGACAUAAAAAAAUAAAAAAAUAAAAAUAAAAAUAAAAAAAACAAGGGAGGAAUCCACAAAAUGCAGAUUUCAAGAGCUUAGGUUCAGAGGAAUACAAAAGAUUUUAAGAGCUAUAUUAAAUCUAAAUAAGUAUACAAAGUAUAUCUAACGAGAAAGGAGAAAAGAAGAAAACAAUUACUGUACAAACAAAUAUGCAAAAGAAACAAAUAAACAAGUUUCCACCAGUGCCAAAUUGAAGAAGAAAGCGAAAAUUGAAAAAAGACAAAGCAGAGAGAUUGCGAGUCUGCGACAUACAAACAAUAGUGUGUGAGAGAGCUGAGAGAGAGCAAGAGAGAAAGAGAGAGAGUAUGAUAGAGAAGAUUUAUUAUACCUUUUGAGAUAAUGACCUUUAAGCACACACAUAUAGUGUAAUCCGCAAUUUAAUCUUCUGAAAAUAAACACGAACAAGUGCAACGUACAACGUCACCGUUUUUCAUUACAUCAACCUGAGGAAAAGAAAGACAAGAGCGACAGAGGAAAGAAAGAAGACAGAGGAAUAUACAGUGUAAUACAGUGCGAGAGCAGGACCGUAAACCAAAGAAUCUACCAUUUUUUUCUAUUAAUCAUUCAUCGAAUAAACAAAAUAAUCUCUCGUCAAGUUAAACAAUAGUGAGACACAGACCGAUUCCUUCGUCAAAGCCGAACUAAUUAAGCGAGGCCAGGUACACAGUUUUAUAGAGGUAUAAUAGUAAUAGCAGUAUAAAUUAAGCACAUUUUUUUAAAACUGGACGCGUCACGUGACAGAUUUUCGCUAAGCGAAAGGAAGAAGAAGCAGAUGAUAAAGGGAGAGAUCAACCGAAUUCGCUUGAACACUCCCGAAGCAACCGAUCUACUUCAGUUCGUAGCCUAAACCUGUUGAGUACAAAAAAAAA
Pseudomyrmex gracilis is the source of this 1231-nucleotide long non-coding RNA. RefSeq lists it as uncharacterized. The transcript has 2 exons. The record is from RefSeq and is a predicted model, not a curated record. Lineage: Eukaryota; Metazoa; Arthropoda; Insecta; Hymenoptera; Formicidae.